Erinaceus europaeus (western European hedgehog) is the source of this 368-nucleotide unclassified non-coding RNA. Its record names the gene 7SK. It matches the Rfam family "7SK RNA". Rfam says of the family: 7SK was discovered as an abundant small nuclear RNA in the mid-70s but a possible function has only recently been suggested. NCBI's taxonomy places the organism in Eukaryota, Metazoa, Chordata, Mammalia, Eulipotyphla, Erinaceidae. The record is from Ensembl.
GGAUGUGAGGGUGAUCUGGCUGCGACAUCUGUCACCCCAUUGAUCGCCAGGGUUGAUUCAGCUGAUCUGGCUGGCUAGGCUUCCUCCCUCAACCCUCCCUCCAUGUGCAUCCCUCCCGAAGUGCGCUCGGUCGCGCUCGGUCAAAGAGGAUGGCCUUCCCCGAAUAGAGACGGACCCAGACCGGUCUUCGGUCAGUCGAGGGUAUAUGAGUAGCUGCGCUCCCCUGCUAGAACCUCCAAACAAGCUCUCAAGAAUGAAAGAACUGGCCCAGAGAGGUUGUUGAAUGGUAGUGUUUCAGUCAAGGCCCUGGGUUCAUUCCUUGUGACAACACAAUAAAUAUAUAAAUUUGUAGUGUUCUAUCACCAAAU